Small nuclear RNA from Camelus dromedarius (Arabian camel), 107 nucleotides. NCBI's taxonomy places the organism in Eukaryota, Metazoa, Chordata, Mammalia, Artiodactyla, Camelidae. The record is from Ensembl.
GUGCUUGCUUUGGCAGCACAUAUUCUAAAACUGGAAAGAUACAGAGAAGAUUAGCAUGGCUCCCACUCAAGGAUGACAUGAAAGUUCGUGAAGCAUUCCAUAUUAUU